This 494-nucleotide ribosomal RNA is filed under the name uncultured bacterium. RNAcentral's name for it is "partial 16S ribosomal RNA". It matches the Rfam family "Bacterial small subunit ribosomal RNA", at positions 28 to 507 of the family's 1533-position model. The record is from RNAcentral.
GACGAACGCUGGCGGCGUGCUUAACACAUGCAAGUCGAACGGUGAAGCGCCUUCCUUUUUGGUGGGUGUGGAUGAGUGGCGAACGGGUGAGUAACACGUGAGUAACCUGCCCCCUUCUUCUGGAUAACCGCAUGAAAGUGUGGCUAAUACGGGAUAUUCUGGGUCUGUCGCAUGAUGGGUCUGGGAAAGAUAUUGUUUCGGGGGGGGAGGGGCUCGCGGCCUAUCAGCUUGUUGGUGGGGUGAUGGCCUACCAAGGCGGUGACGGGUAGCCGGCCUGAGAGGGUGGACGGUCACACUGGGACUGAGACACGGCCCAGACUCCUACGGGAGGCAGCAGUGGGGAAUAUUGCACAAUGGGCGCAAGCCUGAUGCAGCGACGCCGCGUGAGGGAUGGAGGCCUUCGGGUUGUGAACCUCUUUCGCCAGUGAAGCAGGCCUGCCUCGUUUGUGGGUGGGUUGACGGUAGCUGGAUAAGAAGCGCCGGCUAACUACGUG